ACGGCGUGUCUCGCGAGGCCGCGGCAAUGGCCUGGCCCUGAAGAGCACCCCCACAUCAUCCCUCGGUCCUCGGGCCCUGCUUCAUUAACUCGCUCUUCCCGGGGCAACUAUACUUUGAAUAUUGCAUCUUAGGACAUAGAAAUCUUUAACUAAAUGUGACUUUGUCCUUCUGCAUUAGAACAUUAUUAUUCUGCUGGAGCCAAGAAUUAACCUUUGUUUAAUAAGAGCCCUUCCCUGGGGAGGAGCUGGGCCUUCCCUCUCCUUGAAGCAGUCUCUGCUGGGAAGGGUGGGAUUCAACUUCACCCCAAACAGGCACGGAAACACUAACGGGACCAGGCAACUGGAAUUGCUCUGAUGCUUUGCAUAUUUAUGUUUGAGACCUUCGUAUGAACUGUUACUUUAAAAAAGAAGGAUCAGUUCAUCUUUAAAAGGAGGUGAUUGAUCGCUGCCAGUCGGGCAUUUCUUCAUUCUUGGCUUCCUCUUAGCCUCUGUAAUAAGUUCUUCACGAACACCAGUCUGCUAUUAAAGAAUGGUAUUCAUCAUAAGCCAAGCAGGGAGAAGGCAGCAUUUGAUGGGCACAAUACCAUAUUUCAAUCCACAGUGUCCUUUUUGUUCAACUCGAUCUGCUGCGUCGUUAACGUUUGAGGAAAAAACCACACAAAGACUUUGGUAAAUAUUAAUCAGCAGUGCACAGCCCCUUUCCCAACUCGAUUACCCAUUACUGGGCACUCCAGGUGAUAAUGUCCCACUAAACCUCCUAUUUGCUUAAAAUGCAAGUGAAAAGUACUUUCAGCAGAUCGCGUGCCGCGCUCUCUGCAGACUAAGUGGUCUGUAGCAGUGGGGAAACCCUCUUCCUCUCUCUCCCCAUCAUCCUUUCUCCCAGCCCUCCAGUGUCUGGGUGUGUGUCCAGCCUCCCGGCUCCUCACUGCCGUCCUGAGGGGUCAUAACUUCAGCGAGGCGUCCGGAUGAGCUGAGACCUGGAGAAGGAGCCCCACACGUGCGCGGUGGGUCCCCGGAUCAGGGCACCUCUGUAGGGUGCGAUCUCUUUGAACUCAGAAGUCCAUUUCCUCCCACUUCAGAUCUUAUCAGACCAUGCAAAUUGCCAUCAACCUUUCCACACCGGCUGAAGCAGGUCUAAGUCAUGGUCUUCCUUAUUAUCAGCGAAGUGAUUAAAAGUCCAUCAGAUCAACUGGGCUCUGACACAACAUUAAAAAUGUUCUUGGGUGAAAUCUGUUUCUCCACUCCUCUAACUGGUGUAAGUUCAAAGAGGCUCAUAAUGAAAUCUUGUCCCAUCCGUGUCAGCUCCUCAAGUUAACAAUGAAUAUUAAAAUCUAGGUGGCAAGAGCGGGACUCAUCACAGGACAUCAAAAUCUGAACCCAAAAGGCCGUGCUACUGAGAGCAGCUACUUCAUACAAACAGCAAAUAUUCAAUCUGACUGUGAAGAGGUAAGGGGCAAGGCUUCAUCACACACUUCCUGGAGGUCGGGUCAAUCUCCCUAUGAGCCUGGAAUUAGCAGCAGCAGAAUGAAGUGAGAUGGUUUUUAGGUGAGCUGCUAACUCAAGUUAUUUGACAAUUCCAUCCCUGUUUCAAAAACCAGGGUGACUCACCCUGGUUUUUCUACAAAUUGAACAAAAUGUUUUCCCCAAAACAAUUUCUUCUUUGUUUCUGUAUGACAUUAUGUCUUUUCUCUAUAAAAGUAACAGUGCACAGAUAUGUAUGAGGCACUUGGCACAUUUUAAUUUUGUGAAAGAUGCAUCUAUGAGCUGUCCCCUAAACACACCAUCAGAGAUUCUUUUUGUUUUGUUUUGUUCUUAGUGACACAGCCUUGGUGCUCUCCUAUGUGCUGAGUACUUGAGAAAUAAAGAGGUAGAACCAAAAGAUGCCCUGUUUUGCUGCGAUACAGACAAAUCAAACCAACAAAAGAAGUAUGUUUUUCAAUAUACUCGGGAGGUAUAAUUCUUGCACAAUAGUUUGUUUUUAGGUUACUUUUUCUACUCUUAAAUACAGGAAAUUAGACCUUCUAUACCAGGGCUUUGAACUUCUUUUGUACUUGAUUCACCAUAAGAAGCACAUUUGAUGUUAUGAGCCAGUACGCAUAUGUUUAUAUGUAUAAAGAAAUAGCUAUUUAAAAAACAGCAUUUCCCUUGCUAUACGAAAAGUACUCAUAUGUAUUCUGUUUUUUUUUAAAAGUGCUGGUCAUAACACACAAUAUUGAUUCCACUGAUUGAUCUUGAUCCACAAUUUGAAAAACCAUGUUCUACCCUAAAAUAUAUGAGCUGUUCAAUGCAAAACCCAAGAGGUAUUCUUCGUUCUAGCAUAAUGACUUUUUAACAGAUUGAUUAACCCUGACGGGGUUGCGGGGGGUCCCCUUAUGAAGGAAGGGGAUGAUCUGAACAGGUUAUUAACUACCAUGAACCAAGAUUUAAAAACGCUAGUGCAGGCUGAAACCUGUUUCAGUGAAGAAAGUGUAAAACAUCCCUUUGGUUUUAUACAGGCUGUUUCUACUGUCAGGGAUACCAAUCACUGUUCAUGGUUUCAGGACAGUGGUUUCGUUUAUUCCUUCCUUCGUCCCUUAGUACCUGCCUCCCUUCCUGCCUUCUUUCUUUCUUCAUUUCCUUCUUUUGGUUCCUUUUAAGUCAAGCUGUGCCUCCAUGACAAAAGUGAAAAAGAGCGUUAACUGUCUGAACGUUCCCAAAUGUCCGAUGCCUCGGCAUCGUGCGGCAGACGUGAUGACUGUCCCUCCUGCCCUCCCGAGUCACCUCUCCUGCAUCUGUUUGGCAAGUUUCACAGAGCCUCAGAUGAGUGAGCUGAAUCUGAGUGAUGUUCGACAGUCAACCAGUAUUUAUUAAGCUCUGACUUUGUGCCAGGCGCACAUAGCUAGUCAGUAGCUAUUCCAGCUUGUCUGACUCCAGAUUCUCUGCUCCUAACCACAAUAUUCUGCUGGUUCUGAAUGGGCGAUGCUGGAAGCCGAGUUUACCAGACUCUUAAUCUGACGUAACUUCCCACCGAUUCCAAGGAACAGCAAUGUCAGGCGAACACGGGACUAUGAAGGAUUCUCACGGCCAAGCUUAAGAGCAACGAUUUUCCAUCUGGUAACCAGACAUUAGGACACAUUUUAAGCAACUAACUGGACAUGCCGCACGGAUCCCUUGGGCCAGAUGGAAACUGGAAAUAGCACAAAUGAACUGGGAGGCUUGAGACAGCAUUUCUGCAAGAGAUAAAGGCCAAAGGAGACGAAGGCGCUCUGAGUUUCUGCUUGCUCAGGAACCUGGAGUUGCUCACAGUCAUGUGGGUAUUACACCAGGCCCUGGUCCAGACACCUCAACUUUUUUCCUGGUCAGAUUGGGCAGCACCCCCUUAUUUCUAUUGGGAAAAGGAUGGGACCAGUUUGGGGGAAACCGAGCAUAGCAAGAGAAUUGUUACUGCCCCCAGAGGGUCAGCUGACGGGGCUUAAAUCAAUGGAUUCAGCCAAGGGCACUCUGGGCAAUGUCUGGAAACAUUUUUGGUUGACACAACUGGGAGGUUGUGCUAGCAUCUGGCAUGUUGAGCCUGAGAAUGCCGCUACAUGCCCUACACAGCACAGGACAGCUGCCCACGGGAGAGAGGGACAUGUCUUCCCCCGCCCCCAUGUCACAGGGUCAAGGUCAGCAAAGCAAACCUGGCUUGAAUGACGAAGAUGAUGCUGAUAAUCACGAUGACACAAAUAACUAAAGCUCCUGUUUAUUGAAUGACCACCUCAAGCCCGCCUCUUAUUUACUUCAUUGUCUAUUUAUUUACUAUUCAACUUACCAUUACUAUUUAAGUCUUAUACUAACUCCC
Molecule: non-coding RNA, 3820 nt
Organism: Odocoileus virginianus texanus
Lineage: Eukaryota; Metazoa; Chordata; Mammalia; Artiodactyla; Cervidae
Source: RefSeq, a predicted model, not a curated record